GGGGACGUGGUUGCCCGACAGGUUCGUCAUCGGCUCCGCUAGAAGAUGCGCUGCCUAUGGCUACGUAAUAUCCGGGUCAAUUCCCUCAAAUUAUUCCCUAUUAAUUCACUAGCCCCAUGUAUUCUUUUACAAGCACCACCGCACUACGGAUCACUACCGCACAUGGCUGGUUCUUCUGUUCUAGCAGGUUCAUAUUUCGAGGCACCGACAUCCCCCGCAUACUACCUCAUGCUGAUGACAAUGCCGAACCUUGUAUGUAUCGCCACCGAUGACGGCACUGAUGUAGACACCCAUACAUCAGUCAAUGUCGAUGUCGAUG
RNAcentral lists this long non-coding RNA (319 nucleotides) under Gossypium raimondii (Peruvian cotton). RNAcentral describes it as "long non-coding RNA (GRAI_LNC001152)". Lineage: Eukaryota; Viridiplantae; Streptophyta; Magnoliopsida; Malvales; Malvaceae. The record is from RNAcentral.